This 68-nucleotide transfer RNA is filed under the name Rattus norvegicus (Norway rat). It matches the Rfam family "tRNA". From Rfam's summary of the family: Transfer RNA (tRNA) molecules are approximately 80 nucleotides in length. Their secondary structure includes four short double-helical elements and three loops (D, anti-codon, and T loops). The record is from Rfam by way of RNAcentral. Lineage: Eukaryota; Metazoa; Chordata; Mammalia; Rodentia; Muridae.
GGGGAUUUAGCUCAGUGGUAGAGCGCUUGCCUAGCAAACGCAAGGCCCUGGGUUCGAUCCCCAGCUCG